RNAcentral lists this ribosomal RNA (104 nucleotides) under uncultured bacterium. Its description in RNAcentral is "partial 16S ribosomal RNA". It matches the Rfam family "Bacterial small subunit ribosomal RNA", at positions 1379 to 1482 of the family's 1533-position model. The record is from RNAcentral.
CCUUGUACACACCGCCCGUCACACCAUGGGAGAAGGGAGAUCCCGAAGUCACUGUGCUAACCGCAAGGGGGCAGGUGCCUAAGGAUAAACUUUUGACUGGGGUG